Molecule: long non-coding RNA, 770 nt
Organism: Chenopodium quinoa (quinoa)
Lineage: Eukaryota; Viridiplantae; Streptophyta; Magnoliopsida; Caryophyllales; Amaranthaceae
Exons: 3
Source: RefSeq, a predicted model, not a curated record
UGCCAUACACUUAAACCACUAAAGACUUCUCCAAAGCUAGUGCCGAAGACACCCUUAAUCUGUUUUAAGAAGUUCAAUUUUAUUUUUUUUUAUUUAUAAAUAUAUAUGGAUCAAAUUUGAUUUUUGAUCCAUGUUUCAAUGCUAAUGAGCAUGAUGAUUGACAUAAUUGGAAGAGGAUUUUGUUUUCCAUUUUCUAAAGAGUCCUUGCAAAGUGAAGGGUUUGUUUGACCUAAGUCUUUGAAUUGUUUCAGGUGCUAUAUGUGCAGCUGGUUGACUUUACAUGUCAAGCAUUAUGUAUCUACACACAGUAAUGGCUGUUUUUACUCAUUGUUUGGGUAGCUGGGUGGCCUGGUCUGGCUUUGGCUCAUGGCUGCUGCUGGUUCCCUGCUGCUACUGGUUUUGGUUUCAGUGUUGAACUGGGAAUGAUUCAGGAUGCCUCAGCAGUUGGAGCUUUCUAUGAGCUCCUGAGUCAAUUCUCUCUGAACGUGUCUCAGCAUGGAGAACGCAAGCCAGUCAAUUCGUUUGAGUUAUGUCCGAUCUUAAAGACACUAUAUAUACAAGAUACUCAUAAAAAGGGAACAAUCUUCACAAGACAUUCUCCAAGCACUGAGGGAUGAGAACAUGAAUGAUCCCCGGGAUCGAAUCGAAAUGGCUCAAUCACAUACUUUCUACAUGCCUUCACUCCGCUGAGUUGUCGUAUGUGUUCAGGAUGCUGUAGCCUUGUAUUUUAUUUUGAUUUAUAUUUUAUUUUUUUGGACGAAAUUGUAAUA